UGGACAGGUGGUGGCAUGGUUGUCGUCAGCUCGUGUCGUGAGAUAUUGGGUUAAGUCCGCAACGAGCGCAACCCUCGACCUUAGUUGCCAGCAUUCAGUUGGGCACUCUAAGGUGACUGCCGGCUAAAAGGUCGGAGGAAGGUGGGGAUGACGUCAAAUCAUCAUGCCCCUUAUGACCUGGGCUACACACGUGCUACAAUGGGCGGUACAAAGGGUCGCGAACCCGCGAGGGGGAGCCAAUCCCAAAAAGCCGCUCUCAGUUCGGAUUGCAGGCUGCAACUCGCCUGCAUGAAGCCGGAAUCGCUAGUAAUCGCGGAUCAGCAUGCCCGCGGUCGAAUACGUUCCCGGGCCUU
Molecule: ribosomal RNA, 353 nt
Filed under: uncultured Anoxybacillus sp.
Lineage: Bacteria; Bacillati; Bacillota; Bacilli; Caryophanales; Anoxybacillaceae
Description: bacterial SSU rRNA
Rfam family: Bacterial small subunit ribosomal RNA
Source: RNAcentral